RNAcentral lists this ribosomal RNA (485 nucleotides) under uncultured bacterium. RNAcentral describes it as "partial 16S ribosomal RNA". It matches the Rfam family "Bacterial small subunit ribosomal RNA", at positions 29 to 523 of the family's 1533-position model. The record is from RNAcentral.
AGUGAACGCUGGCGGCGUGCUUAACACAUGCAAGUCGAACGAGAACGGAAUAUAGCUUGCUAUAUUUGUCAGCUAAGUGGCGCACGGGCGAGUAAUGUAUAGAUAACCUGCCCUUAAGAAAGGAAUAACAGUUGGAAACGACUGCUAAUGCCCUAUAUGCCUUUAAUACAUAAGUAUGCAAGGGAAACGCUUUAGUGCUUAAGGAUGGGUCUGUAUGGAAUCAGCUUGUUGGUGAGGUAAUGGCUCACCAAGGCUAUGACGCCUAACUGGUUUGAGAGGAUGAUCAGUCACACUGGAACUGAGACACGGUCCAGACUCCUACGGGAGGCAGCAGUGGGGAAUAUUGCACAAUGGACGAAAGUCUGAUGCAGCAACGCCGCGUGGAGGAUGACACAUUUCGGUGCGUAAACUCCUUUUAUAUAGGAAGAUAAUGACGGUACUAUAUGAAUAAGCACCGGCUAACUCCGUGCCAGCAGCCGCAGUAA